Long non-coding RNA from Marmota monax (woodchuck), 980 nucleotides. RefSeq lists it as uncharacterized. The record is from RefSeq and is a predicted model, not a curated record. Lineage: Eukaryota; Metazoa; Chordata; Mammalia; Rodentia; Sciuridae. The transcript has 3 exons.
GGGAUCAAGCCCAGAGGCCCUUUAUCGCUGAAUUUCGGUUCUAGUUCUUUUUAUUCUUUUAUUUGGAGGCAGAGUCUAAGUUGCCCCAGCUGGCCUUGAACUUGAGAUCCUCAUGCCUCAGCCUCCUGAAUCACUGGCUCACCUCUGAGCCUUGCUAUAAGUUCUCGGCAGACACAACAUCUUUGUAUGGGGUGCUGAGGAUUGAACCUGGACCGCACGCAUGCCAGGUGAAUACCACAUACGUUUUUCUGUUAAAAAUCCUUAAGAGAAUUCCGAUACUCUAUCCGGGACAUCACCCUUACCUACCUUGGGAAUCACACCAAAUUCUUAGAAAGCUGGAUCUGCAGGACGUGGAGCAACAGCGUGGCCCAUUCUUCUGAAGGGCUUCACCUGACCUUCCAGUUUGGAAUUUGAAGGUAACACACUUCUCACAAAUCUUAUUGGACUCUAAUUGUGCUAUUACUUGCCAGUUGACCUAUAUUAAAUGGGUCUGUCUUUGCCAAAAGGCCCUAAAAUUAGUUCAGUUUGCAAUAUAGCAAACAUUUUGUUGUGCCUUUGCUGGAGGCCCCUUCCCUGUGGUGGCUCCAGCAAGCACCUCUCAUACCUCCUGAAUCUCUGGACCAGCACAACACAAGUUGCUCUUGUGCUUCUGAUAUGAGAAACAUGCUUCUGAUAAAAGAAAUCCCCUUCCUCCAUUUCAUGAUAUAUGCUGGGAGAAUGAUCUCUGCUGGCCCAAACUGGGCUCUCUUGGACAUGCUGCUCUCUCAGCCCAUGACUUUCCAUGUUCAGCAGCUCACUACCCUAGGUCACAGGAGCAGCACACCCAGAGGUUUGGCAUGGCGGGCGAGGUCUCCAGCUGCAGGACAGACUUGGCUAGAUGCCAUGGUGCUAAAGACAGGCAACCCUCUCCCAAAGCCUUUGACUUGGUGAAGCUCCUGCAAUCAACUCUGAAUAGCAAAGGGAAUUUUCAGACUUUACAG